RNAcentral lists this ribosomal RNA (478 nucleotides) under uncultured bacterium. Its description in RNAcentral is "partial 16S ribosomal RNA". It matches the Rfam family "Bacterial small subunit ribosomal RNA", at positions 28 to 523 of the family's 1533-position model. The record is from RNAcentral.
GACGAACGCUGGCGGCGUGCUUAACACAUGCAAGUCGAACGGUAAGGCCCUUCGGGGUACACGAGUGGCGAACGGGUGAGUAACACGUGGGUGAUCUGCCCUGCACUUCGGGAUAAGCCUGGGAAACUGGGUCUAAUACCGGAUAGGACCCUGGGAUGCAUGUCCUGGGGUGGAAAGCUUUUGCGGUGUGGGAUGGGCCCGCGGCCUAUCAGCUUGUUGGUGGUGUGGUGGCCUAUCAAGGCGACGACGGGUAGCCGGCCUGGGAGGGGGACCGCCCACACUGGGACUGAGAUACGGCCCAGACUCCUACGGGAGGCAGCAGUGGGGAAUGUUGCACAAUGGGCGCAAGCCUGAUGCAGCGACGCCGCGUGAGGGAUGACGGCCUUCGGGUUGUAAACCUCUUUCAGCACCGACGAAGCGCAAGUGACGGUAGGUGCAGAAGAAGGACCGGCCAACUACGUGCCAGCCGCCGCGGUAA